GAUGAACGCUGGCGGCGUGCCUAAUACAUGCAAGUCGAGCGAACAGACGAGGAGCUUGCUCCUCUGACGUUAGCGGCGGACGGGUGAGUAACACGUGGAUAACCUACCUAUAAGACUGGGAUAACUUCGGGAAACCGGAGCUAAUACCGGAUAAUAUAUUGAACCGCAUGGUUCAAUAGUGAAAGACGGUUUUGCUGUCACUUAUAGAUGGAUCCGCGCCGCAUUAGCUAGUUGGUAAGGUAACGGCUUACCAAGGCAACGAUGCGUAGCCGACCUGAGAGGCGGAUCGGCCACACGGGAACGGAGACACGGUCCAGGCUCCUACGGGAGGCAGCAGUAGGGAAUCUGCCGCAAUGGGCGAAAGCCUGACGGAGCAACGCGGCGUGAGUGAUGAAGGUCUUCGGAUCGUAAAACUCUGUUAUGAGGGAAGAACAAAUGUGUAAGUAACUAUGCACGUCUUGACGGUACCUAAUCAGAAAGCCACGGCUAACUACGUG
This 497-nucleotide ribosomal RNA is filed under the name uncultured bacterium. RNAcentral describes it as "partial 16S ribosomal RNA". It matches the Rfam family "Bacterial small subunit ribosomal RNA", at positions 28 to 507 of the family's 1533-position model. The record is from RNAcentral.